This 253-nucleotide ribosomal RNA is filed under the name uncultured bacterium. RNAcentral describes it as "partial 16S ribosomal RNA". It matches the Rfam family "Bacterial small subunit ribosomal RNA", at positions 524 to 776 of the family's 1533-position model. The record is from RNAcentral.
UACGUAGGGGGCAAGCGUUGUUCGGAAUUACUGGGCGUAAAGGGCGCGUAGGCGGCAUGGCAAGUCGGGAGUGAAAGCCCGGGGCUCAACCCCGGAGGGUCUCUCGAAACUGCCAAGCUAGAGUGCGGAAGAGGCAACUGGAAUUCCCAGUGUAGCGGUGAAAUGCGUAGAUAUUGGGAAGAACACCGGAGGCGAAGGCGGGUUGCUGGGCCGACACUGACGCUGAGGCGCGAAAGCGUGGGGAGCAAACAGG